This 470-nucleotide ribosomal RNA is filed under the name Escherichia coli. RNAcentral's name for it is "partial 23S ribosomal RNA". It matches the Rfam family "Bacterial large subunit ribosomal RNA", at positions 1 to 501 of the family's 2925-position model. Lineage: Bacteria; Pseudomonadati; Pseudomonadota; Gammaproteobacteria; Enterobacterales; Enterobacteriaceae. The record is from RNAcentral.
GGGUUGUGAGGUUAAGCGACUAAGCGUACACGGUGGAUGCCCUGGCAGUCAGAGGCGAUGAAGGACGUGCUAAUCUGCGAUAAGCGUCGGUGAGGUGAUAUGAACCGUUAUAACCGGCGAUUUCCGAAUGGGGAAACCCAGUGUGUUUCGACACACUAUCAUUAACUGAAUCCAUAGGUUAAUGAGGCGAACCGGGGGAACUGAAACAUCUAAGUACCCCGAGGAAAAGAAAUCAACCGAGAUUCCCCCAGUAGCGGCGAGCGAACGGGGAGGAGCCCAGAGCCUGAAUCAGUGUGUGUGUUAGUGGAAGCGUCUGGAAAGGCGUGCGAUACAGGGUGACAGCCCCGUACACAAAAAUGCACAUAUUGUGAGCUCGAUGAGUAGGGCGGGACACGUGGUAUCCUGUCUGAAUAUGGGGGGACCAUCCUCCAAGGCUAAAUACUCCUGACUGACCGAUAGUGAACCAGUAC